Molecule: long non-coding RNA, 2350 nt
Organism: Phascolarctos cinereus (koala)
Lineage: Eukaryota; Metazoa; Chordata; Mammalia; Diprotodontia; Phascolarctidae
Source: Ensembl
AUAUUUGUAUAUAAUGUAUAUUUAUGUACAUUCAUAUAUAUGUGUAUAUACAUAUAUACAUACACAUAUAUGUAUAUAUAUUAUAUAUAUAUUAUAUAUACAGAGAGAGACAGAGAAUAUGUUUAUUAAGCAGCUAGGUGGUACAGUGGAUAGAGUGCCAGGCCUGAAGUCAGGAGGACCUGAGUUCAAAUCCGGCCUCAGACCGAACACUUGACACUUAGUAGCUCUGUGACCCUGGGCAAGUCACUUAACCCCAAUUGCCUUAAAAAAGAAAAAAAAUGUUUCAAAUCUGGCUUCAGACACUUACUAGCUGUGUUACCCUGGGCAAGUCACUUCACUGCCUCAGUUUUCUCAUCUGUAAAAUAAGAAGGAAAUGGCAAGCCAUUCCAGUUAUCUUUGACAAAACAAAAUAAAAUAAAUGGGAUCAUGAAGAGUUGGACACAAUCGAACAACAACAACAAACAAAAACUGUGAUAAAUUCUGCAGGUAGAAGAGCAGGCAAGCAGGACAGCCCCUGCGCUCCAGGGGAGGAAUCUACACGUCUAGGUAUGGCAUGCAGUGGCAGUAUAGUGUGGGGAGGACAGAGAAGAGAGAUGGAGACCUGAGCCCAGGCAAAACAAGGCAAGAGCUCACCAGGAGAUUGUUUCCUUUCUGGUUGGUUUUUAGGAAUUCUGGAGGUUGCCAGGCACACUUUGACCACAGUGCAUUUGUGGCCCUUGAACACAGAGGACUGAGAUUAACAUAAAAGUCGCAAAAGAUGACUGUGACUAAGAGGGGUAGAGUUUGUCGUUUUCAGCAUCAUUAGCUGCAUUGUUGGCCUUUUCUAUAUAAUGGUUAUAAUAAUUGAUGCUUAAUAAUUUUCUUUAUUUUUUUCCUUCCUAGAAGCACUUGCAAUUCUGACAGUUGACAUUUUACCUGCCAGAAGCUCUAUAUGUGUGACCUUCCCCCCUCACGAACAAAGCACCUGCCUGGGGAGUCUGGGAGCUCGUGUGUAUCUGCAUAUUUGGGGCUGUCCAGUGCAACCUCUGGGAUUGGGGGUCUAAGUUUCCUGGUUUCCCAGUUUGAGAUCAGGGAGAUGCUGCUGAAGAAAGCAGUGCGUUGCAGAGGUGGAACAAUGAAUGAAACAGCCGGAGCGCCUCGUGCUUCGCUGCUGUAUUAUCAGCGGCAGAAUCUGCGCUGGCUCACCUCAUCAAUGAGAGACUGAAGCAAGAUGGACUUGGAGAUCAUGGUCUUUCACACUGGGAGCAGCAGAGGACAGCCGAGGACAGCAUACAGCCUGGAAGUACCAGUAUAGAACAAGAAAGCUCAUGCAGUCUGUGCCACCAAUUUCCUUAAUGUUCCCCCAGGCAAGUCAUGAAGUCUCCCUGGGCUCAAUUUUUCUCACUUUGAAAAUGAGUAGACUUUAUGCGCCACUCUUGUUUUUCAAGCUGAGAUGCUGUAGUUUUCUGAACAUCUGCUCUGCAUUGCUCUACUCUGGUGUUCUCUACAGGGUAAAUCACAGGCGGUGUUUUUUAUGAGGGGGAAGAGGAGAGAAAAAUUGGGAAUCAUAGGAACAUAGAUUAAGAACCUUAGGACCUUAGAAAUCUGCCUUCAUUUUAUAGUGAGGAAACAGAAAGAUUCAGAGAGUUUAAGUGAUUUGCCCAGGGUCGCACAGUAAGGCCUAACGCAGGAAUUAGACCAGGUUUUGCUGAUUCAGAAGUCCAGCUCUCUAUUGCCUCUUGAUUUAGUCAUAGAAUCAUAGAGCAUCAGGGUUGGAAGGAGUCUCAGAGAUGAGCAAACCCAGCCCAUGCCUGGCCAAUACUGUCUAUAAUAUCUGAUAAAGAGGUAAAGAACAUCAAGGAGCAGUGGAUUAGCAGAGUUGGUUGCUGUUACAUAGCAGCAUUGGGCUGGGGAACCCGUGACACCAAGGCCACAUCUGGCUGGCCCUGGAGAACAGAACUAGGAACAGAGUGUGGAAAUUGUCAUGAGGCCACUUUAGGCUGGAUAGCAGGAAGAACUUCCUAUCAUUGAGAGCUGACCAGAAAGAAAUGGGCUGCCUCUAGAGGGGGAUGAGUCCCCUCUCCUCUAAGGGCUCUGAGCAGAGCUUUGGUGGCUACCUGCUGGGUAAAUCAUAGUGGGGAUCCAUUUGGGGGUACAUGUUGUACUAGAUGGGCACUGAGGUCCCUUCCAAUUCUAGAAUUUUCUGACUCUGUAAAAUUGAGGCAUAAUUCCAAAGCACUGGCUUUUGGAGUGAAAAAAAAAAGAUUUGAAAUCUCACUUUUGUCAUUUAAUAGCUGUAUGACCUUGGACUUACCCUCCCGAGGGCUCAGUUUCCUUAUGUGUAAAAUAAAGAAGUUGGACUCGGUGACCA